This 975-nucleotide non-coding RNA is filed under the name Fukomys damarensis (Damara mole-rat). RNAcentral describes it as "Bacterial small subunit ribosomal RNA". It matches the Rfam family "Bacterial small subunit ribosomal RNA". The record is from Rfam by way of RNAcentral. Lineage: Eukaryota; Metazoa; Chordata; Mammalia; Rodentia; Bathyergidae.
AAACACAUAUGUUUGGUCCUAGCUUUUUUAUUAGUUGUAAGCAAAAUUACACGUGCAAGUAUCCUCAAGCCAGUGAGAAUGCCCUUUAAAUCAUUUCGAUGAAAAGGAGAGGGUAUCAAGUACACAUAAAAGUAGCUCACUACACCUUGCUAAACCACACCCCCACGGGAAACAGCAGUGAUAAGAAUUAAGCUAUAAACCAAAGUUCGACUUAGUUAUGCAAUACAUUCAGGGUUGGUAAAUUUCGUGCCAGCCACCGUGGUCAUACGAUUAACCCAAAUUCAUAAAUAUCGGUGUAAAGAGUGUUUAAGAUUAUAACCAAACUAAGAUUAAAUUUUAUCUGUGUCAUAAAAAAUUAUAGAUAAAUUAAAACCCAAUAAACGUAAGUAAUCUUAUUAUAUCUGAAUACACGACAGCUUAGACCCAAACUGGGAUUAGAUACCCCACUAUGCUAAGCUGUAAAUACAAAUUAUUAAGGAAAAACAAAAUAUUUCGCCAGAGAACUACUAGCCACAGCUAAAAACUCAAAGGACUUGGCGGUGCUUCACACCCAUCUAGAGGAGCCUGUUCUGUAAUCGAUAAACCCCGAUAAACCUUACCACUUUUUGCUAAUACAGUUUAUAUACCACCAUCUUCAGCAAACCUUAACAAAGUAAAAAAGUAAGCACAACCACAAACAUAAAAACGUUAGGUCAAGGUGUAGUCAAUAAAGUGGGAAGAAAUGGGCUACAUUUUCUUAAUAAACAACACCCUAAAUGAAAGCUAUUAUGAAAUCUAAUAGUGUAAAGAGGAUUUAGUAGUAAACUAAGAAUAGAGAGCUUAGUUGAACAAGGCCAUGAAGCACGCACACACCGCCCGUCACCCUCCUUAAAUGUAUACAUGUAUAUAAUUAUGCUAAAUUAUACACAAAACAUCAAAGGAGAUAAGUUGUAACAAGGUAAGCAUACUAGAAAGUGUGCUUGGAAUACAAAGAGU